AUUGAACGCUGGCGGCAUGCUUUACACAUGCAAGUCGAACGGCAGCAUGGGUGUUUGCACCUGAUGGCGAGUGGCGAACGGGUGAGUAAUAUAUCGGAACAUGUCUGGAGGUGGGGGAUAACGUAGCGAAAGUUACGCUAAUACCGCAUAUGCCCUGAGGGGGAAAGGAGGGGAUCGUAAGACCUUUCGCUUUCGGAGUGGCCGAUAUCAGAUCAGCUAGUUGGUGAGGUAAAGGCUCACCAAGGCAACGAUCUGUAGCGGGUCUGAGAGGAGGAUCCGCCACACUGGGACUGAGACACGGCCCAGACUCCUACGGGAGGCAGCAGUGGGGAAUUUUGGACAAUGGGCGCAAGCCUGAUCCAGCCAUGCCGCGUGAGUGAAGAAGGCCUUCGGGUUGUAAAGCUCUUUCAGCCGGAAAGAAAUCAUGCUUACUAAUACUAAGUGUGGAUGACGGUACCGGAAGAAGAAGCACCGGCUAACUACGUGCCAGCCGCCGCAGUAA
This 502-nucleotide ribosomal RNA is filed under the name uncultured bacterium. Its description in RNAcentral is "partial 16S ribosomal RNA". It matches the Rfam family "Bacterial small subunit ribosomal RNA", at positions 30 to 523 of the family's 1533-position model. The record is from RNAcentral.